ACGUAGGGGGCAAGCGUUGUCCGGAAUGAUUGGGCGUAAAGGGUGCGUAGGCGGCCUGGUAAGUCUGGAGUGAAAGUCCUGCUUUUAAGGUGGGAAUUGCUUGGGAUACUGUCAGGCUUGAGUGCAGGAGAGGUAAGUGGAAUUCCCGGGGUAGGAGUGAAAUGCUGAGAUAUCUGGAGGAACACCAGUGGCGAAGGCGUCUUACUGGAAUGGAUCUGACGCUGAGGCGCGAAAGUGUGGGGAGCAAACAG
Molecule: ribosomal RNA, 251 nt
Filed under: uncultured prokaryote
Description: partial 16S rRNA
Rfam family: Bacterial small subunit ribosomal RNA
Source: RNAcentral